RNAcentral lists this ribosomal RNA (468 nucleotides) under uncultured bacterium. RNAcentral's name for it is "partial 16S ribosomal RNA". It matches the Rfam family "Bacterial small subunit ribosomal RNA", at positions 28 to 507 of the family's 1533-position model. The record is from RNAcentral.
GACGAACGCUGGCGGCGUGCUUAACACAUGCAAGUCGAACGGAAAGGCCCUGCUUUUGUGGGGUGCUCGAGUGGCGAACGGGUGAGUAACACGUGAGUAACCUGCCCUUGACUUUGGGAUAACUUCAGGAAACUGGGGCUAAUACAGGAUAGGAGCUCCUGCUGCAUGGUGGGGGUUGGCAAGGUUCGGCGGUUGGGGAUGGACUCGCGGCUUAUCAGCUUGUUGGUGGGGUAGUGGCUUACCAAGGCUUUGACGGGUAGCCGGCCUGAGAGGGUGACCGGCCACAUUGGGACUGAGAUACGGCCCAGACUCCUACGGGAGGCAGCAGUGGGGAAUAUUGCACAAUGGGCGGAAGCCUGAUGCAGCAACGCCGCGUGCGGGAUGACGGCCUUCGGGUUGUAAACCGCUUUCGCCUGUGACGAAGCGUGAAUGACGGUAAUGGGUAAAGAAGCACCGGCUAACUACGUG